This 443-nucleotide ribosomal RNA is filed under the name uncultured bacterium. RNAcentral's name for it is "partial 16S ribosomal RNA". It matches the Rfam family "Bacterial small subunit ribosomal RNA", at positions 338 to 795 of the family's 1533-position model. The record is from RNAcentral.
CCUACGGGUGGCAGCAGUGGGGAAUAUUGGGCAAUGGGCGCAAGCCUGACCCAGCAACGCCGCGUGAAGGAAGAAGGCUUUCGGGUCGUAAACUUCUGUUCUGAGGGACGAAGAAAGUGACGGUACCGCAGGAAUAAGCCACGGCUAACUACGUACCAGCAGCCGCGGUAAGACGUAGGUGGCAAGCGUUAGCCGGAUUUGUUGGGUGUAAAUGGCGUGUAGGCGGGAAAGCAAGUCAGAUGGGAAAACUCAGGGCUCAAACCUGAGCCUGCAUUUGAAACUGUUUUACUUGAGUGCUGGAGAGGAGAUUGGAAUUCCGGGUGUAGCGGUGAAAUGCGUAGAUAUAAGGAGGAACACCAGUGGCGAAGGCGGAUUGCUGGACAGUAACUGACGCUGAGGCGCGAAAGCGUGGGGAGCAAACAGGAUUAGAUACCCGUGUAGUC